GACGAACGCUGGCGGCGCGCCUAACACAUGCAAGUCGAACGGAGCUGAGCGAAGCUUGCUUUUCUUAGCUUAGUGGCGAACGGGUGAGUAACGCGUGAGUAACCUGCCCUGGAGUGGGGGACAACAGUUGGAAACGACUGCUAAUACCGCAUAAGCCCACGAUCCGGCAUCGGAUUGAGGGAAAAGGAUUUAUUCGCUUCAGGAUGGACUCGCGUCCAAUUAGCUAGUUGGUGAGGUAACGGCCCACCAAGGCGACGAUUGGUAGCCGGACUGAGAGGUUGAACGGCCACAUUGGGACUGAGACACGGCCCAGACUCCUACGGGAGGCAGCAGUGGGGGAUAUUGCACAAUGGGGGAAGCCCUGAUGCAGCGACGCCGCGUGGAGGAAGAAGGUUUUCGGAUUGUAAACUCCUGUCGUUAGGGACGAUAAUGACGGUACCUAACAAGAAAGCACCGGCUAACUACGUG
RNAcentral lists this ribosomal RNA (468 nucleotides) under uncultured bacterium. RNAcentral describes it as "partial 16S ribosomal RNA". It matches the Rfam family "Bacterial small subunit ribosomal RNA", at positions 28 to 507 of the family's 1533-position model. The record is from RNAcentral.